Molecule: transfer RNA, 72 nt
Filed under: Tannerella serpentiformis
Lineage: Bacteria; Pseudomonadati; Bacteroidota; Bacteroidia; Bacteroidales; Tannerellaceae
Also listed under: 8 other names
Description: Tannerella sp. oral taxon HOT-286 tRNA-Met
Rfam family: tRNA
About the family: Transfer RNA (tRNA) molecules are approximately 80 nucleotides in length. Their secondary structure includes four short double-helical elements and three loops (D, anti-codon, and T loops).
Source: RNAcentral
CGCGGAGUGGAGCAGGGGUAGCUCGUUGGGCUCAUAACCCAAAGGUCGUAAGUUCGAAUCUUACCUCCGCAA